CCUACGGGAGGCAGCAGUGAGGAAUAUUGGUCAAUGGCCGUAAGGCUGAACCAGCCAAGUCGCGUGAAGGAAGAAGGAUCUAUGGUUUGUAAACUUCUUUUAUAGGGGAAUAAAGGUAUCCACGUGGGGAUAUUUGCAUGUACCCUAUGAAUAAGCAUCGGCUAACUCCGUGCCAGCAGCCGCGGUAAUACGGAGGAUGCGAUCGUUAUCCGGAUUUAUUGGGGUUAAAGGGUGCGUAGGUUGUUUUUUAAGUCAGCGGUGAAAGUUUGUGGCUCAACCAUAAAAUUGCCGUUGAAACUGGAAGACGUGAGUGUGUUUGAGGUAGGCGGAAUGCGUGGUGUAGCGGUGAAAUGCAUAGAUAUCACGCAGAACUCCGAUUGCGAAGGCAGCUUACUAAGCCAUAACUGACACUGAAGCACGAAAGCGUGGGGAUCAAACAGGAUUAGAUACCCCUGUAGUC
RNAcentral lists this ribosomal RNA (460 nucleotides) under uncultured bacterium. RNAcentral's name for it is "partial 16S ribosomal RNA". It matches the Rfam family "Bacterial small subunit ribosomal RNA", at positions 338 to 795 of the family's 1533-position model. The record is from RNAcentral.